GGACUACUCGGGUUUCUAAUCCCGUUCGCUCCCCAUGCUGUCGUGUCUCAGCGUCAGUAAUGCGCCAGGAUGCCGCCUUCGCCUCUGGUGUUCUUCCGGAUAUCUACGCAUUUCACCACUACACCCGGAAUUCCGCAUCCCUCUCGCAUACCCUAGACGACCAGUAUCGCACAGCCUCCGCGCGUUGAGCGCACGGCUUUCAUGCACGACUUAAUCAUCCGCCUGCACACCCUUUAAGCCCAGUAAAUCCGGAUAACGCUCGCCUCCUACGUUUUACCGCGGCUGCUGGCAC
RNAcentral lists this ribosomal RNA (292 nucleotides) under uncultured bacterium. Its description in RNAcentral is "partial 16S ribosomal RNA". The record is from RNAcentral.